GCGGCCGUGGUCUAGUGGUUAGGACCUUAGCCUUCCAAGCUAACGACCCGGGUUCAAAUCCCGGCGGCCGCA
RNAcentral lists this transfer RNA (72 nucleotides) under Candidatus Nanoarchaeia archaeon. Its description in RNAcentral is "tRNA-Gly". It matches the Rfam family "tRNA". Rfam says of the family: Transfer RNA (tRNA) molecules are approximately 80 nucleotides in length. Their secondary structure includes four short double-helical elements and three loops (D, anti-codon, and T loops). Further hydrogen bonds mediate the characteristic L-shaped molecular structure. tRNAs have two regions of fundamental functional importance: the anti-codon, which is responsible for specific mRNA codon recognition, and the 3' end, to which the tRNAs corresponding amino acid is attached (by aminoacyl-tRNA synthetases). tRNAs cope with the degeneracy of the genetic code in two manners: having more than one tRNA (with a specific anti-codon) for a particular amino acid; and 'wobble' base-pairing, i.e. permitting non-standard base-pairing at the 3rd anti-codon position. The record is from RNAcentral. RNAcentral also lists the same sequence under 1 other name. Lineage: Archaea; Nanobdellati; Nanobdellota; Candidatus Nanoarchaeia.